Molecule: ribosomal RNA, 595 nt
Filed under: Latilactobacillus sakei
Lineage: Bacteria; Bacillati; Bacillota; Bacilli; Lactobacillales; Lactobacillaceae
Description: bacterial SSU rRNA
Rfam family: Bacterial small subunit ribosomal RNA
Source: RNAcentral
UUUAGAUUGAAGGAGCUUGCUCCUGAUUGAUAAACAUUUGAUUGAGUGGCGGACGGGUGAGUAACACGUGGGUAACCUGCCCUAAAGUGGGGGAUAACAUUUGGAAACAGAUGCUAAUACCGCAUAAAACCUAACACCGCAUGGUGUAGGGUUGAAAGAUGGUUUCGGCUAUCACUUUAGGAUGGACCCGCGGUGCAUUAGUUAGUUGGUGAGGUAAAGGCUCACCAAGACCGUGAUGCAUAGCCGACCUGAGAGGGUAAUCGGCCACACUGGGACUGAGACACGGCCCAGACUCCUACGGGAGGCAGCAGUAGGGAAUCUUCCACAAUGGACGAAAGUUUGAUGGAGCAACGCCGCGUGAGUGAAGAAGGUUUUCGGAUCGUAAAACUCUGUUGUUGGAGAAGAAUGUAUCUGAUAGUAACUGAUCAGGUAGGGACGGUAUCCAACCAGAAAGCCACGGCUAAUUACGUGCCAGCAGCCGCGGUAAUACGUAGGUGGCAAGCGUUGUCCGGAUUUAUUGGGCGUAAAGCGAGCGCAGGCGGUUUCUUAAGUCUGAUGUGAAAGCCUUCGGCUCAACCGAAGAAGUGCAUCGGAA